GGCGUUUCUUUUCCAGUAGUCUAAAAUCUGUUGGAGGGGGGAAAAGGUUCCAGCUGUCCAGCCGCGGCGGCAGCGGUGUGUCUGAAGUCCGGGGUCCUCGGCGGGGGAAAGAAGAUUGGCGCUCCGCGGCAAGGUUUGCUGGGACUCGGUGCCGUCGGCGGGUCGAAGCUCGGUGGUGGGCGGCUUGGAGUGAUGGAGGUGUCUUCUUUCAGGUGGCGGCGCGGCGUCUUCCUCGAGGCGUUGGUCGGUCUUCUAGGUCCAGUGGUCAGUGCUUUGUCUCAAUAACAGGAACAGGAAUUGCUCAUUAGUGCACAGCACUUAAAUGUGCUUUUGACAGGAGAAGACAUCCCCAGAGUUGGGCUCGAGUCAUGGUUUGUGCUGUUCCUCUCAGACAUGGUUGUGUUCUCUUCUCGAUGUUUGUAUUCCAGAAUGGAUGUCUCUUGGUUGUAUUUUAAACUUUCAAGUUGUUUUAAGUUAAUUUUAAUGUAGUUUAUUUGUUUUAAAUUUAGUUUUGCUACAUUAAAUUUGUAUGCAAUCGUAAGGGAUUGUGGGUAUUUUAGUUCUGAGGGAUGAGAGCCUAAGGAAUCGAUCUUCCUGUUACAGCAAAGGAUUGUGGGUAAAACCGUGAGUGAGUGAGGUACUUCCUUUCUGCCAUGAGAGCCUUGGGAAUCAAUCUCCCUGUUGCAGCAAAGGAUUGUGGGUAAAACCGUGAGUGAGGGAGGUACAUUUUUCCUGGCAUGAGAACCUCAGGAGUCAGUCCUUCCUAAGAAAAAAGAGGGGAGGGGGGAAGACAAACAAAAGCACAGGAACCCUAAAAUGAAAUAAAAUAAAAUAAAAUAAAAUAAUAUAAAACAAUGAAAAAAUAAAAAAUAAAAAAGAAGAACAAAAGUGGAUUGCAAAAGGGAAAGGAGAAGAAAAAAGGAAAAAAAGAAGUGUCAAGAGCAAAUAGCAAAAAACAGAAGUGAGCUUAAAAACAGAGAACAGUUCCCUAAAAGACAGAAAUGUAAAUUUGAUCAAUGUCCUAAGGGAAAAUCUGCACGUGUAUGUGUUUUCUUUUUUACUAGCUUAGUCUGGUGUCACUGAUGGUCAGUUAUCAAUAAGUAUUUAUUAUUUAAAUUUUUGAUGAAGUUGUUUGUAGUGGGGUUAGCUGGCUAAUUUUAGUGUGUUAAAAAAGAUGUUAGAGGGGGAGGAUUUAGGUGGCAUGGCGGUUCCCCUUCAGGUCUCUCUUAAUCCUCAAUAUAGGUGACCCAACAGGGGUUACCCCCCGGCCGGGGUAGGCCGAGGCUGAAGAUCACCUAUUUGUCCUCUGUGAAGGUGAAAAUAAAGGGGCAGGGGAGGGAAUAAGAAAGAGGGGGGGUGUUAGAGAGAGGGGGAGAGAUGAGGGAGAGAGAUGAGGGAGAGAGAGAGGGGGGGGGGGGGGGGUGAGAGUGAGAGAGAGAGAAGGGAAGAGGGAGAGGGGGGUUUAAGGGAGAGGUGGAGAUGGUGGAAAAUAAAGAUUGGUGAGGGGGAUUUGGUGGCGGAUGAAACAUCCCAUAGCUCCCCAGCUCUCACCAUCCAUGUGAGGAGAGUGAGCAAGGGACAUAGUCACCCGACCCGACUAGGUCUAGGCUCUGCUCUCCUCACGGUCCUCACAAGAUACAAAGAGAUAUGUAAACGUGGAAGUGAGAGUUCUCUAGGCAGAGUUUUGGGUUUGGUUUGAGCUGAGUUGGUCAGUUGAUUAUUGAUUACUAUUUUAAGUUCUAAAAGUGGAUAGAGUCAAAAAGUCACAGAGGAUUGUGGUGGGAGCAGGUGGUCCAUCUGGCACCAUUCUGCUCAUGCAGGGAUUCGAGUGAUAGAAAGAGAAUAGAUCUUGCCACCGUGACUCGCCAUUGAGACUCUCCUCACCUGCUGGUUUUCAUCCUCUGAUAGGAGAGAGAGGUACAGAUCAGGAGAGAGGGAGAAAAGGAGGGAGGCAGGGUGGGGUCAGGAGUUAAUUUGUCUUGAAAAGUAUUUAUCUUUUCGUCAUUGCUGUUAGGGUUUAGAUGUUUUUUGUUUAGUUUUCUGAGGAAUGUAGUGUUAGUAUAGGUUCCAAGGUGGAGGAUUCUUUGGAAUUCACUCUCACCCUUGAAACUGGAAGAUCUUAGAUUCUAUAAAGGGGGGGGGGGGGUGAGAGGUUGUGUGCACAGAAGGAGCAUGGGCUCAGACUAUUCUCGGAAUGAUAUUGUGACAAGUCUGUCCGAAGGUAAGUGGCUGGUUAGGUGUGGGAAAGAGAUAGAGUGAUAGCCCCCGCUUUCGUCAGUUGACUUGGCGGUUUGAGGUAGGCUGAUCAAGGGCUUGCACUGGCCGGCGCAUGUCGACCUGUCACAUGUUCCAGUCGAGUCUCCGAGCUCAAUCUGUGUGUAAAAAUUAUGUGUUGGUAGAAAGUUUAAUGACUCAGCUCAGUUGGUAUGCUAUGCUGUCUAUCUUUUAGACUAUGUGUUUGUAGAGCAAUAUUAUGUAUAUAUUAUGUUACAGGGCUAGGAAAAGGUUAAAGGUUUUUGACGUUAGGGUUAAAAUCACUGUCCAAAACCUUUGUAGGAACUCUUUUCCAACCUUUUGGAGGGAGCUAGACUAGAAAAAAAAGAAAAAAGAAAAAAAAAAAUUUGGGGUGUUCGGGCUUCCUGAAGGUAAUACCUGGGUAUUAGGUUAUGGGGCUAGGGUAAGGUUUAAGGCUUUUGGCGUGAGGGUUAAAAUCACUGUCCAAAACCUUUGUAGGAAGUCUUUUCCAACCUUUUGGAGUUAGUUAGACCAAUAAAAAAAUGAAAAAUAAAAAAAAAAUAUUUGGGGUGUUCGGUCUUCCUGAAGGUAAUACCCGGUUAUUAGGUUUUGGGGCUAGGAUUAGGUUUAAGGUUUUUGGCGUUAGGGUUAAAAUCACUGUCCAAUAUUUUUUAAGGAACAUGUUUCAGACCUUUUGGAGUCAGUUAGACCAAAAAAAAAGAAAAAAGAAAAAAAAAUAUUUGGGGUUUUCGGGCUUCCUGAAGGUAUUAGGUUAUGGGGCUAGGGUAAGGUUUAAGGUUUUUGGCGUAAGGGUUAAAAUCACUGUCCAAAACCUUUUAAGGAACAAGAUUCAGACCUUUUGGAGUUGGUGACACCAAAAAAAGAUGUAAAAUGAAAAAAAAAAUAUUUGGGGUGUUCGGGCUUCCUGAAGGUAAUACCCUUCAGGGGUAUUAGGUUAUGGGGCUAGGAUUAGGUUUAAUGUUUUUGGCGUUAGGGUUAAAAUCACUGUCCAAUAUUUUUAAGGAACAUGUUUCAGACCUUUUGGAGCUAGUUUGAUCAAAAAAAAAGAAAAAUAAAAAAUAUAUAUUUGGGGUGUUCGGGCUUCCUGAAGGUAAUACCCGGGUAUUAGGUUAUGGGGCUAGGGUAAGGUUUAAGGUUUUUGGCGUAAGGGUUAAAAUCACUGUCCAAAACCUUUGUAGGAAGUUUUUCCAACCUUUUGGAGUUAGUUAGAAAAAAAAAAGAUAAAUGAAAAAAAUAUUUGGGGUGUUCGGGCUUCCUGAAGGUAAUACCCGGGUAUUAGGUUAUGGGGCUAUGGUAAGGUUUAACGUUUUGGCGUUAGGGUUAAAAUCACUGUCCAAAACCUUUGUAGGAACUCUUUAACAACCUUUUGGAGUUAGUUAGACCAAAAAAAAAUGAAAAAUUAAAAAAAAUAUUUGGGGUGUUCAGGCUUCCUAAAAGUAAUACCCGGGUAUUAGGUUAUGGGGCUAUGGUAAGGUUUAAGGUUUUUGGCGUUAGGGUUAAAAUCACUGUCCAAAACCUUUGUAGGAACUCUUUUUCAACCUUUUGGAGUUAGUUAGACCAAAAAAAAAAUGAAAAAUGAAAAAAAAAUAUUUGGGGUGUUCGGGCUUCCUGAAGGUAAUACCCGGGUAUUAGGUUAUGGGGCUAGGGUAAGGUUUAAGGUUUUUGGCGUUAGGGUUAAAAUCACUGUCCAAAACCUUUGUAGGAACUCUUUUCCAACCUUUUGGAGUUAGUUAGACCAAAAAAAAUGAAAAAAAAAAAAAAAAAUAUUUGGGGUUUUCGGGCUUCCUGAAAGUAAUACCCGGGUAUUAGGUUAUGGGGCUAUGGUAAGGUUUAAGGUUUUGGCGUUAGGGUUAAAAUCACUGUCCAAAACCUUUGUAGGAACUCUUUUCCAACCUUUUGGAGUUAGUUAGACCAAAAAAAAAUGAAAAAUAAAAAAAAAUAUUUGGGGUGUUCAGGCUUCCUAAAAGUAAUACCCGGGUAUUAGGUUAUGGGGCUAUGGUAAGGUUUAAGGUUUUUGGCGUUAGGGUUAAAAUCACUGUCCAAAACCUUUGUAGGAACUCUUUUCCAACCUUUUGGAGUUAGUUAGACCAAAAAAAAAUGAAAAAUGAAAAAAAAAUAUUUGGGGUGUUCGGGCUUCCUGAAGGUAAUACCCGGGUAUUAGGUUUUGGGGCUAGGGUAAGGUUUAAGGUUUUUGGCGUUAGGGUUAAAAUCACUGUCCAAAACCUUUGUAGGAACUCUUUUCCAACCUUUUGGAGUUAGUUAGACCAAAAAAAAAUGAAAAAUGAAAAAAAAAAUAUUUGGGGUUUUCAGGCUUCCUGAAGGUAAUUCCCGGGUAUUAGUUUUGGGGCUAGGGUAAGGUUUAAGGUUUUUGGCGUUAGGGUUAAAAUCACUGUCCAAAACCUUUGUAGGAACUCUUUUCCAACCUUUUGGAGUUAGUUAGACCAAAAAAAAAAAGAAAAAUGAAAAAAAAAUAUUUGGGGUUUUCGGGCUUCCUAAAGUAAUAAGUAUUAGGUUAUGGGGCUAUGGUAAGGUUUAAGUUUUUGGCGUUAGGGUUAAAAUCACUGUCCAAAACCUUUGUAGGAACUCUUUCCAACCUUUUGGAGUUAGUUAGACCAAAAAAAAAUGAAAAAUAAAAAAAAAUAUUUGGGGUGUUCAGGCUUCCUAAAAGUAAUACCCGGGUAUUAGGUUAUGGGGCUAUGGUAAGGUUUAAGGUUUUUGGCGUUAGGGUUAAAAUCACUGUCCAAAACCUUUGUAGGAACUCUUUUCCAACCUUUUGGAGUUAGUUAGACCAAAAAAAAAAGAAAAAUGGACAAAAAAAUAUUUGGGGUUUACGGGCUUCCUGAAUGUAAUACCCGGGUAUUAGAUUUUAAGGCCAGGGAAAGGUUUAAGUUUUUGGCGUUAGGGUUAAAAUCACUGUCCAAAACCUUUGUAGGAACUCUUUUCCAACCUUUUGGAGUUAGUUAGACCAAAAAAUAUGAAAAAAGAAAAAAAUAUUUGGGGUUUUCGGGCUUCCUGAAAGUAAUACCCGGGUAUUAGGUUUUGGGGCUAGGGUAAGGUUUAAGGUUUUUGGCGUUAGGGUUAAAAUCACUGUCCAAAACCUUUGUAGGAACUCUUUUCCAACCUUUUGGAGUUAGUUAGACCAAAAAAAAAAGAAAAAUGAAAAAAAAAUAUUUGGGGUGUUCGGGCUUCCUAAGUAAUACCCGGGUAUUAGGUUAUGGGGCUAUGGUAAGGUUUAAGGUUUUGGCGUUAGGGUUAAAAUCACUGUCCAAAACCUUUGUAGGAACUCUUUUCAACCUUUUGGAGUUAGUUAGACCAAAAAAAAAUGAAAAAUAAAAAAAUAUAUUUGGGGUGUUCAGGCUUCCUGAAAGUAAUACCUGGGUAUUAGGUUAUGGGGCUAUGGUAAGGUUUAAGGUUUUUGGCGUUAGGGUUAAAAUCACUGUCCAAAACCUUUGUAGAAACUCUUUUCCAACCUUUUGGAGUUAGACCAAAAAAAAACUAAAAAUGAAAAAAAAAAUAUUUGGGGUUUUCGGGCUUCCUGAAGGUAAUACCCGGGUAUUAGGUUUUGGGGCUAGGGUAAGGUUUAAGGUUUUUGGCGUAGGGUUAAAAUCACUGUCCAAAACCUUUGUAGGAACUCUUUUCCAACCUUUUGGAGUUAGUUAGACCAAAAAAAAUGAAAAAAGAAAAAAAUAUAUUUGGGGUUUUCGGGCUUCCUGAAGGUAAUACCCGGGUAUUAGGUUUUGGGGCUAUGGUAAGGUUUAAGGUUUUUGGCGUUAGGGUUAAAAUCACUGUCCAAAACCUUUGUAGGAACUCUUUUCCAACCUUUUGGAGUUAGUUAGAAAAAAAAAAAAUGAAAAAGAAAAAAAAUAUUUGGGGUCUUCGGGCUUCCUGAAGGUAAUACCCGGGUAUUAGGUUAUGGGGCUAGGGUAAGGUUUAAGGUUUUUGGCGUUAGGGUUAAAAUCACUGUCCAAAACCUUUUUAGGAACAUGUUUCAGACCUUUUGGAGUUAGUUAGACCAAAAAAAAAAAGAUAAAUGAAAAAAAAAUAUUUGGGGUGUUCGGGCUUCCUGAAGGUAAUACCCGGGUAUUAGGUUAUGGGGCUAGGGUAAGGUUUAAGGUUUUUGGCGUUAGGGUUAAAAUCACUGUCCAAAACCUUUGUAGGAACUCUUUUCCAACCUUUUGGAGUUAGUUAGACCAAAAAAAAAAGAAAAAUGAAAAAAAUAUAUAUUUGGGGUGUUCGGGCUUCCUGAAGGUAAUACCCGGGUAUUAGGUUAUGGGGCUAGGGUAAGGUUUAAGGUUUUUGGCGUAGGGUUAAAAUCACUGUCCAAAACCUUUGUAGGAACUUUUCAACCUUUUGGAGUUGGUUACACCAAAAAAAAUGUAAAAUGAAAAAAAAUAUAUUUGGGGUGUUCGGGCUUCCUGAAGGUAAUACCCGGUAUUAGGUUUGGGGCUAGGGUAAGGUUUAAGGUUUUUGGCGUUAGGGUUAAAAUCACUGUCCAAAACCUUUGUAGGAACUCUUUUCCAACCUUUUGGAGUUAGUUAGACCAAAAAAAAAUGAAAAAUGAAAAAAAAAAUAUUUGGGGUGUUCGGGCUUCCUGAAGGUAAUACCCGGGUAUUAGGUUAUGGGGCUAGGGUAAGGUUUAAGGUUUUUGGCGUUAGGGUUAAAAUCACUGUCCAAAACCUUUGUAGGAACAAUUUUCCAACCUUUUGGAGUUAGUUAGACCAAAAAAAAUGAAAAAUGAAAAAAAAAAUAUUUGGGGUUUUCGGGCUUCCUGAAGGUAAUACCCGGGUAUUAGGUUAUGGGGCUAGGGUAAGGUUUAAGGUUUUUGGCGUUAGGGUUAAAAUCACUGUCCAAAACCUUUGUAGGAACUCUUUUCCAACCUUUUGGAGUUAGUUAGACCAAAAAAAAAGAUAAAUGAAAAAAAAAUAUUUGGGGUGUUCGGGCUUCCUGAAGGUAAUACCCGGGUAUUAGGUUAUGGGGCUAGGGUAAGGUUUAAGGUUUUUGGCGUAAGGGUUAAAAUCACUGUCCAAAACCUUUUAGGAACAUGUUUCAGACCUUUUGGAGUUGGUUACACCAAAAAAAAUGUAAAAUGAAAAAAAAAUAUUUGGGGUGUUCGGGCUUCCUGAAGGUAAUAUUAGGUUUGGGGCUAGGGUAAGGUUUAAGGUUUUUGGCGUUAGGGUUAAAAUCACUGUCCAAAACCUUUGUAGGAACUCUUUUCCAACCUUUGGAGCAAGUUAGACCAAAAAAAAAGAAAAAAAAAAAAUAUAUUUGGGGUGUUCGGGCUUCCUGAAGGUAAUACCCGGGUAUUAGGUUUUGGGGCUAGGGUAAGGUUUAAGGUUUUUGGCGUUAGGGUUAAAAUCACUGUCCAAAACCUUUGUAGGAACUCUUUUCCAACCUUUUGGAGUUAGUUAGACCAAAAAAAAUGUAAAAUGAAAAAAAAAAAAUAUUUGGGGUGUUCGGGCUUCCUGAAGGUAAUACCCGGGUAUUAGGUUAUGGGGCUAGGGUAAGGUUUAAGGUUUUUGGCGUUAGGGUUAAAAUCACUGUCCAAAACCUUUGUAGGAACUCUUUUCCAACCUUUUGGAGUUAGUUAGACCAAAAAAAAAAUGAAAAAUGAAAAAAUAUAUAUUUGGGGUGUUCGGGCUUCCUGAAGGUAAUACCCGGGUAUUAGGUUUUGGGGCUAGGGUAAGGUUUAAGGUUUUUGGCGUUAGGGUUAAAAUCAUCUGUCCAAUAUUUUUUAAGGAACAUGUUUCAGACCUUUUGGGAGUUAGUUAGACAAAAAAAAAAAAAAAAGAAAAAAAAAUAUUUGGGGUGUUCGGGCUUCCUGAAGGUAAUACCCGGGUAUUAGGUUUUGGGGCUAGGGUAAGGUUUAAGGUUUUUGGCGUUAGGGUUAAAAUCACUGUCCAAAACCUUUUUAGGAACAUGUUUCAGACCUUUUGGAGUUGGUAACACCAAAAAAAAAUGUAAAAUGAAAAAAAAAUAUUUGGGGUGUUCGGCUUCCUGAAGGUAAUACCCGGGUAUUAGGUUUUGGGGCUAGGGUAAGGUUUAAGGUUUUUGGCGUUAGGGUUAAAAUCACUGUCCAAAACCUUUGUAGGAACACUUUUCCAACCUUUUGGAGUUAGUUAGACCAAAAAAAAAAGAAAAAUGAAAAAAAAAAUAUUUGGGGUGUUCGGGCUUCCUGAAGGUAAUACCCGGGUAUUAGGUUAUGGGGCUAGGGUAAGGUUUAAGGUUUUUGGCGUUAGGGUUAAAAUCACUGUCCAAAACCUUUGUAGGAACUCUUUUCCAACCUUUUGGAGUUAGUUAGACCACAAAAAAUGAAAAAUGAAAAAAAAAAUAUAUUUGGGGUGUUCGGGCUUCCUGAAGGUAAUACCGGGGUAUUAGGUUUUGGGGCUAGGGUAAGGUUUAAGGUUUUUGGCGUAAGGGUUAAAAUCAGUGUCCAAAACCUUUUUAGGAACAUGUUUCAGACCUUUUGGAGAUGGUUACACCAAAAAAAAUGUAAAAUGAAAAAAAAAAUAUUUGGGGUGUUUGGGCUUCCUGAAGGUAAUACCCGGGUAUUAGGUUAUGGGGCUAGGGUAAGGUUUAAGGUUUUUGGCGUGAGGGUUAAAAUCACUGUCCAAAACCUUUGUAGGAAAGUCUUUUCCAACCUUUUGGAGUUAGUUAGACCAAUAAAAAAAUGAAAAUUAAAAAAAAAUAUUUGGGGUGUUCGGGCUUCCUGAAGGUAAUACCCGGGUAUUAGGUUAUGGGGCUAGGGUAAGGUUUAAGGUUUUUGGCGUUAGGGUUAAAAUCACUGUCCAAAACCUUUGUAGGAAGUCUUUUCCAACCUUUUGGAGUUAGUUAGACCAAAAAAAAAUGAAAAAUGAAAAAAAAAAAUAUUUGGGGUGUUCGGGCUUCCUGAAGGUAAUACCCGGGUAUUAGGUUUUGGGGCUAGGGUAAGGUUUAAGGUUUUUGGCGUUAGGGUUAAAAUCACUGUCCAAAACCUUUUAAGGAAAAAGAUUCAGACCUUUUGGAGUUGGUAACACCAAAGAAAAAUGUAAAAUGAAAAAGAAAAUAUUUGGGGUGUUCAAGCUUCCUGAAGGUAAUACCCGGGUAUUAGGUUUUGGGGCUAGGGUAAGGUUUAAGGUUUUUGGCGUAAGGGUUAAAAUCACUGUCCAAAACCUUUUUAGGAAUGUAUUUCAGGCCUUUUGGAGUUGGUUACACCAAAAAAAAUGUAAAAUGAAAAAAAAUUUUUUGGGGUGUUCGGGCUUCCUGAAGGUAAUACCCUUCAGGUUUAAGUAUUAGGUUAUGGGGCUAGGAUUAGGUUUAAGGUUUUUGGCGUAAGGGUUAAAAUCACUGUCCAAUAUUUUUUAAGGAACAUGUUUCAGACCUUUUGGAGCUAGUUUGACCAAAAAAAAAAGAAAAAGAAAAAAUAUAUAUUUGGGGUGUUCGGGCUUCCUGAAGGUAAUACCCGGGUAUUAGGUUAUGGGGCUAGGGUAAGGUUUAAGGUUUUUGGCGUGAGGGUUAAAAUCACUGUCCAAAACCUUUGUAGGAAGUCUUUUCCAACCUUUUGGAGUUAGACAAAAAAAAAAAGAUAAAUGAAAAAAAAAUAUUUGGGGUGUUCGGGCUUCCUGAAGGUAAAACCCGGGUAUUAGGUUAUGGGGCUAGGGUAAGGUUUAAGGUUUUUGGCGUAAGGGUUAAAAUCAGUGUCCAAAACCUUUUUAGGAACAUGUUUCAGACCUUUUGGAGUUGGUUACACAAAAAAAAAUGUAAAAUGAAAAAAAAUUUUUUUUGGGUGUUCGGGCUUCCUGAAGGUAAUACUAGGUUUCUGGGCUAGGGUAAUGUUUAAGGUUUUUGGCGUAAGGGUUAAAAUCAAUGUCCAAAACCUUUGUAGGAACUCUUUUCCAACCUUUGAGAGCAAGUUAGACCAAAAAAAAAUGAAAAAGAAAAAAUAUAUAUUUGGGGUGUUCGGGCUUCCUGAAGGUAAUACCCGGGUAUUAGGUUAUGGGGCUAGGGUAAGGUUUAAGGUUUUUGGCGUGAGGGUUAAAAUCACUGUCCAAAACCUUUGUAGGAAGUCUUUUCCAACCUUUUGGAGUUAGACAAAAAAAAAAGAUAAAUGAAAAAAAAAUAUUUGGGGUGUUCGGGCUUCCUGAAGGUAAUACCCGGGUAUUAGGUUAUGGGGCUAGGGUAAGGUUUAAGGUUUUUGGCGUAAGGGUUAAAAUCACUGUCCAAAACCUUUUUAGGAACAUGUUUCAGACCUUUUGGAGUUGGUUACACAAAAAAAAAUGUAAAAUGAAAAAAAUUUUUUGGGGUGUUCGGGCUUCCUGAAGGUAAUACCGGGUAUUAGGUUUGGGGCUAGGGUAAGUUUAAGGUUUUUGGCGUAGGGUUAAAAUCACUGUCCAAAACCUUUGUAGGAACUUUUCCAACCUUUUGGAGAGUUAGACCAAAAAAAAUGAAAAAAAAAAAAAAUAUUUGGGGUGUUCGGGCUUCCUGAAGGUAAUACCCGGGUAUUAGGUUAUGGGGCUAGGGUAAGGUUUAAGGUUUUUGGCGUUAGGGUUAAAAUCACUGUCCAAAACCUUUGUAGGAAGUCUUUUCCAACCUUUUGGAGUUAGUUAGACCAAAAAAAAAGGAAAAUGAAAAAAUAUAUAUUUGGGGUGUUCGGGCUUCCUGAAGGUAAUACCCGGGUAUUAGGUUUUGGGGCUAGGGUAAGGUUUAAGGUUUUUGGCGUAUAGGGUUAAAAUCACUGUCCAAAACCUUUGUAGGAAUCUUUUCCAACCUUUUGGAGUUAGUUAGACCAAAAAAAAUGAAAAUGAAAAAAAAAUAUUUGGGGUGUUCGGGCUUCCUGAAGGUAAUACCCGGGUAUUAGGUUAUGGGGCUAGGAUUAGGUUUAAGGUUUUUGGCGUAAGGGUUAAAAUCACUGUCCAAUAUUUUUUAAGGAACAUGUUUCAGACCUUUUGGAGUUAGUUAGACCAAAAAAAAAAGAAAAAGAAAAAAUAUAUAUUUGGGGUGUUCGGGCUUCCUGAAGGUAAUACCCGGGUAUUAGGUUUUGGGGCUAGGGUAAGGUUUAAGGUUUUUGGCGUGAGGGUUAAAAUCACUGUCCAAAACCUUUGUAGGAAGUCUUUUCCAACCUUUUGGAGUUAGACAAAAAAAAAAAGAUAAAUGAAAAAAAAAUAUUUGGGGUGUUCGGGCUUCCUGAAGGUAAUACCCGGGUAUUAGGUUAUGGGGCUAGGGUAAGGUUUAAGGUUUUUGGCGUUAGGGUUAAAAUCACUGUCCAAAACCUUUUUAGGAACUCUUUUCCAACCUUUUGGAGUUAGUUAGACCAAAAAAAAUGUAAAAUGAAAAAAAUAUAUAUUUGGGGUGUUCGGGCUUCCUGAAGGUAAUACCCGGGUAUUAGGUUAUGGGGCUAGGGUAAGGUUUAAGGUUUUUGGCGUUAGGGUUAAAAUCACUGUCCAAAACCUUUGUAGGAACUCUUUUCCAACCUUUUGGAGUUAGUUAGACCAAAAAAAAAAGAAAAAUGAAAAAAAAAUAUAUUUGGGGUGUUCGGGCUUCCUGAAGGUAAUACCCGGGUAUUAGGUUAUGGGGCUAGGGUAAGGUUUAAGGUUUUUGGCGUUAGGGUUAAAAUCACUGUCCAAAACCUUUUUAGGAACAUGUUUCAGACCUUUUGGAGUUAGUUAGAAAAAAAAAAAAAAAAUGAAAAAAAAAUAUUUGGGGUGUUCGGGCUUCCUGAAGGUAAUACCCGGGUAUUAGGUUAUGGGGCUAGGGUAAGGUUUAAGGUUUUUGGCGUAAGGGUUAAAAUCACUGUCCAAAACCUUUUUAGGAACAUGUUUCAGACCUUUUGGAGUUAGUUAGACCAAAAAAAAAAGUAAAAUAAAAAAAAAUUAUUUGGGGUGUUCGGGCUUCCUGAAGGUAAUACCCGGGUAUUUUUGGGGCUAGGGUAAUGUUUAAGGUUUUUGGCGAUAGGGUUAAAAUCACUGUCCAAAACCUUUGUAGGAACUCUUUUCCAACCUUUUGGAGUUAGUUAGACCACAAAAAAUGAAAAAUAAAAAAAAA
RNAcentral lists this long non-coding RNA (12273 nucleotides) under Xyrichtys novacula (pearly razorfish). The record is from RNAcentral. Lineage: Eukaryota; Metazoa; Chordata; Actinopteri; Labriformes; Labridae.